AUGUGGACCUGUCUUCGUCAGCGCUAUGAGCCCUCUGGUGAUGCCUUAUACCUUUCUGUGGUUCGUCAGGAGCAUGCUCUUCAGCAGGGUGACUCUACUGUUGAUGACUUCUAUGCACAGAGUUCUGCUAUCUGGCGCCAGCUUGAUUCUCUCCGCAGUGCUGGUUGUCGUACUUGGCCCUGUUGCCAGGCUAUCCAGGCCAAUUUGGAGUUUCAUCGCGUCUACGAGUUCCUGUCUCGGCUCCGUAAGGAGUUUGAGCCCCGGCGUGCUCAGUUGUUUGCUCGUGGCCGUAUUUCUCUCAUGGAGGCGCUUUCAGAGAUUCGUGCUGAGGAGACUCGCUUACGUGGUGUUGGUUUGCUGGAGGUUCCCUCUGUGCUCGCUACUCCGGCUUCUUCCACUCCACCUACUGCACCGACCCCUUCUCGCUCGAGUGCUCCGCCGCUCUUGCCCACUCCUUCUGGAGGCUCAGGUCGCCCCCAUCCACACUGUGACUACUGCAACAAUGAUGGUCAUGUUGAGUCCCAGUGCUACACAAAGCGGAAACACCUGCGCAAGGCGCGAUCAUCAUCCUCAGGGACUUCGUCA
This 585-nucleotide ribosomal RNA is filed under the name Triticum aestivum (bread wheat). Its description in RNAcentral is "partial small subunit ribosomal RNA". Lineage: Eukaryota; Viridiplantae; Streptophyta; Magnoliopsida; Poales; Poaceae. The record is from RNAcentral.